Desmophyllum pertusum is the source of this 77-nucleotide non-coding RNA. The record is from the annotation of a GenBank genome assembly. NCBI's taxonomy places the organism in Eukaryota, Metazoa, Cnidaria, Anthozoa, Scleractinia, Caryophylliidae.
GCCUCGGAAGCUCAGUGGUUAGAGCACCUGCCAUGAGAUUGGGGCACAUGUCGUGGGUUCGAAUCCCGCGCGGGACA